This 210-nucleotide long non-coding RNA is filed under the name Brassica napus (rape). Its description in RNAcentral is "long non-coding RNA (BNAP_LNC011079)". Lineage: Eukaryota; Viridiplantae; Streptophyta; Magnoliopsida; Brassicales; Brassicaceae. The record is from RNAcentral.
UUCUCAUCGCCUUAGUCAUGAGAGGUAAUCCUAAAUACCUCACAGGUAGCUCACCCUCAGCAAGAGGAAAAUUCGUUAAUAUACUUCUCUUCUCAACCUCUGGAACUCGUGCCAUGUAGAUCGUGGAUUUCUCCAAGCUUAUACGUAAUCCCGACCACACUUCAAAUGCAUCAAAUACUGAGAGGGCUCCUUCUAUAGACCUCUUUGAAC